UGGAUUGGUGCCUUCGGGAACUGUGAGACAGGUGCUGCAUGGCUGUCGUCAGCUCGUGUUGUGAAAUGUUGGGUUAAGUCCCGCAACGAGCGCAACCCUUAUCCUUUGUUGCCAGCGAUUAGGUCGGGAACUCAAAGGAGACUGCCAGUGAUAAACUGGAGGAAGGUGGGGAUGACGUCAAGUCAUCAUGGCCCUUACGACCAGGGCUACACACGUGCUACAAUGGCGCAUACAAAGAGAAGCGACCUCGCGAGAGCAAGCGGACCUCAUAAAGUGCGUCGUAGUCCGGAUUGGAGUCUGCAACUCGACUCCAUGAAGUCGGAAUCGCUAGUAAUCGUGGAUCAGAAUGCCACGGUGAAUACGUUCCCGGGCCUUGUACACACCGCCCGUCACACCAUGGGAGUGGGUUGCAAAAGAAGUAGGUAGCUUAACCUUCGGGAGGGCGCUUACCACUUUGUGAUUCAUGACUGGGGUGAAGUCGUAACAAGGUAACCGUAGGGGAACCUGCGGUUGGAUCACCUCCUUACC
This 528-nucleotide ribosomal RNA is filed under the name Salmonella enterica subsp. enterica serovar Typhimurium. RNAcentral's name for it is "bacterial SSU rRNA". It matches the Rfam family "Bacterial small subunit ribosomal RNA", at positions 1007 to 1533 of the family's 1533-position model. Lineage: Bacteria; Pseudomonadati; Pseudomonadota; Gammaproteobacteria; Enterobacterales; Enterobacteriaceae. The record is from RNAcentral.